CCAAAUUCUCCCCUCUUUCUCUCUCCAGGUUCAUUUCAGCUUAGUACACCUGGAAGAAUGAUCUGCAGGUGGCUGGUUCAAGACCUGUUGGUACUCAAGGCAGAAAAUCCAAAUGGCAGUUUCCUCCCUGCACAGAAAUUAACAGGUGGUAUGAUCCACCAGGAAGUUAUCCUCCACAGCACGUGUGAUGAAGCAGAGAUAGGCAGGAAUGAUGGGCUGCCACUUACCGGUAUUUUGCAACAGGUACCAUGCUAUCUCUGUAUCCCCACUGCCGCUUUUAUUUUUAUCCUUACCUGAAGCUUUGUUGCCCAUCAGAAGAAUCAGGCACAGUAUAAGGCAUCGGGGCAGGUUAUGAAGAGGGGGCCCAGUGGCAGUGUGUGCGAGGACCAUCAAAUAUGCCAGUUUUGCUUCUCAUUUUUCCUUUCUUAAAUUCUGUUCUCCUCAUUUCCAUGUCAGUUUGCAAUUUCUCUCUAAGCCCAUGUGAAAAAUUUUCAGCAUUUCAGUGUGAAUUUCUCCUAAUAUAAACAUCUUUGUAUGGCGUUUUUGGCUAAUAGGCACAUUUCCCCCUCAAUGCUGAUUUUCCAUAACACAAGAAGAGCGCUUCUGAAUCAGGCCAAAGGCCCAUCUAGCCCAACAUCCUGUUCCCACAGUGGCCAGUCAGAAGCAUCUUCUGGGAAUUCAGGGAGUUCAAGGCUACCAGUGGCUGCUCACCAGGAUGGCUAUGCUUUGCCUCCACAGCUGGAGGCAGCAACACUUCUGAAUACAAUUUUCCUGGAAACCACAGGAACGGAGAGUUGCUCUUGUGCUCAAAUCCUGCUAGUGAAUUUCCCUUUGGGGCAUCUGGUUGGCCACUGUGAAAAGAGGAUUCUGCACUAGAUGGACUAGUGGUUCUUACAUUAUUACAAGCAAAUUUCUCCCAUCUAUUCCAUCCCCCUAUUUCCCCCAUGGUCCCGUCUGCUUUCUGUCUUCUUCCUUCUGGAUUCCAGUUCAGCUAGGAGAAUUUCUUAAAAUGAUUUCCAGAAUUAGGGCACGGGCGUUCUGCCUCAUCUUUCUGUUCCAUCUGUUCAUUUGCAUCUUCUUCUUUUUUUAAAUCCUCUGGGUUACCAAAGCAUGCGUGCGCAUUGAUACCACACUGGAAGGGGGAAAGGAAGGCGGUCUUGAUGUGAUUUUAUUGCACACAGGGCUGCUUUCAGACUCUUUCCUGCCUUUGUUUUUAUAGGGUUUCAGGAAGGCAUGCCUGGUCUCCUGCAUGUUGGUAAAGAGCAUGAGUAAAAGAGGCAGAGGGAAGGGACUCUAACCUGUACAGUACUCUGUACAAGAUUCAGAAUAUUUGAAAAUGAAAUAACAUAGGUUACCUAAUGCAGGGCUGGGUAGACAUCAGGUCUACCCAGGAUUCCCUGUUAUGAUGUCCACAUCAUAAAACACAUAUAAAUCACAUGGACCCCACCCCCACAAAAAAGGAAUAUUGGGAACUGUAGUUUACCACUCUGACAGUGCUACAAUUCCCAGCACCCUUAACAGACUACAGGAUUCUUUGAGGGAAAUUUUAUUUAUUUAUUUUCCUAUUUAUUUCGUAAAAUUUAUACACCAUUUGGUUUUUUUUAAAGCAUCCUCAAAGCAGUUUACAAAAUAUAUAUAGCAAUAAAAGUAUCAAUAUGAAAAAAUUUAAACAACGAUUUAAUACUUUCAAAAAGUUAAAAUAACAGUAGGUUAAAAACAGAUUGAAACUCGUAUCAGCUUUCUAAACAUCUGGGCAGGCUAGCCUAAACAGGCGCUGAAAAGAGUAUAGUGAAGGCACUUGCCUGGUGUCAACAGGCAGGGAGUUCCAAAGUGCAGGAGCUGCCGCACCAAAAUAUCAGUUUCUGACAAAUUUAAAACUCCAAAGUUGAGGUUUGAGGUUUCACAUUUUCCUCAUGAUAAACGAGUGACAAAGAACAGCCCUGGGCUCAUUUGGGAGGAAGGGCGGGAUAUACAUUUGAAAAGAUGGCUGUAGCUCAGUGGUAGGACAUCUGCUUUGCAUGCAGAAGGUCCCAUGUUUAAUCCCAGAUGGCAUCUUCAUGUAAGUCUGGGAGAAAACAUUGUCUGAAUGUCCAAAGAGCUGUUGCCAGUCAGAGUAGACAAUAUUGAGCUAGAUAGACCAAUCUCUGAAUCAGCAAAGGACAGCUCCUUAUUUAAAUCAUGCUUUUAUUUAGAAACGAUGAGGACUAGAAUCUUAUUUUAUUUUGGAGGAGGGGCCAUAGUUCUGUCUCUGAAACCCCAGAGAACCACUGUCAGUCAGUGUAGAGAAUAGUGAGCUAGAUGGACCAGUGGUCUGACUCAGGAUAAUGUGACUUCCUCUGUUUCUAUUUAAUACAGUAUUUUAUUCAGAAACAUGAGGACUAGAAUCUUAUUUCAGUUUUAGAGGAAAGGGUGAAUGUCAGUCGUAGAGCAUCUGUCUUGCAUGAUGAAGGUCCAAGGUUCCAUCCCCAGUGACAUCUCCCAAGUAGGGCAGGUCUGAAACCCUGGAGAGCUGCUGCCAGCCAGUUUGAACAAUACCAAGCUGACAUCACAGUUUAAGAAGUAUAUUCACAAGCUGGAAUGUGUGCAGCCAAGAUGAUAAAGGGUCUGGAAACCAAGCCUUAUGAGGAAUGGUAGAAGGAUUUGGGCGUGUUUAGCCAAGAGAAGAGAAGAAGAGUUUGGAUUUGCUAUCCCACUUUAUCACUGCCCUAAGGAGUCUCAAAGCAGCUAACAUUCUCCCUUCCCUUCCUCCCCCACAACAAACACUCUGUGAGGUGAGUGGGGCUGAGAGACUUCAGAGAAGUGUGACUGGCCCAAGGUCACCCAGCAGCUGCAUGUGGAGGAGCAGGGAAGCGAACCCGGUUCACCAGAUUACGAGUCCACCAUUCUUAACCACACUGAAGGCUUAGAGGUGCCAUCAUAACCAACUUCAAGUAACUGAAGAGCUCCCACAUGGAAGAUGGAGCAAGCUUGUUUUCUGCUGCUCCAGAUGGUAGGACCCAAACCAAUGGAUUCAAAUGACAGGAAAGGAGAUUCUGACUAAGCUGUAAGUGCCUUUUGACUGUUGAAUGGGCUCCCUCAGAAAGUGGCAGGCUCUGCUUCAUUGGCGGGGCUAUUGGCAUGUUCUUUUUCUUACUUUUAAGGUAUUUUGUGCUUUUUAUUAUCUUGUAUUUUUAUGUUUUGAACCAUCCUGGAAUCUAUGGAUGAAGGGCAGUAUACAAAUUUAAUAAAUAAUAAAAUAAAAGUAAGUAGAGGUUGAAUAGCCGUCUGUCAUGGAUUUUUUAUCUAUGAUUCCAACAUCGCAGGAGGGUUGGACAGGAUGACCCUUAAGGUCCUUUCCCACUGUACAAUUCUAUGAUUUUAUGUGUCAGGGAAUCAGUGCAGAUAGAAUAGCAGUCUGAGCCGAUACACAACACCUCCCUGUUCCCGGGAUAUAAACUACCACAAGCGGCUUCCUCUUGAACUGCUCCCUAUCACUGCACUUCUCCUGUAAGGCACAUCCUCAGGGGAACCGUAGAUUGAAUCCAGCGCUCUCUAUUCAUAGGAGCUUGGAGAUUCUCCACGCAGGGCCUCCGUGGCAGAUGAGUGAGGGGUUGCUUGCCACACAGAUUGUUGCAAUCGGAUUCCCCUGGUGGUGGGUCAGUAAUUUUGAAGAACUUUGCUCUGACACAUCGCAGGGAAGUGGUAAGGUCUCCCAGCACAGCCUCUCCUGGCUCAAAGGCCAGCUUUCACGUAGGACUGUUCUGUUUUGUUUUAGAGGAAGGUGGCAACGAUCUCUCUUCCUCGCACCAGCUCACCAUUUGUCUGACUACAGACAUCAAAACAUUUAAACAGAAGGCUGGUCUGCUCCAAGAAGAGACCAGGCAGCAUUCGUUUCACCAAGACUUGUUGUGGGAUCAAACCUUCUCAAAAAAUUUGCCAUGAUAGGUCCUGCCAUGUUUCCAUUGAAAAUACCAUAAUGCUAGAAAAAUGCAACCUGUGUUGCUGUUAGAAGUAGUACGAUUCAUGCAACAUGUUGGCAAUUAAUAUACACACAAUAAUGACCAAAAUAAUUAUGCAUUCUUUAUUAAUCUUCUGAGAAAAAUACACAAACUUAUGCAAAGCCACAGAGACUUGCGAACUACCCAACCUGAGAUGAACUUAAAUUGUCUGAUUUCAAUGGAUUUUUCAAGUGCUUAACUCAGUCUUUUGUUUUCUUUAUCUUUUUAGGUAAGUUCAUUAAGAUACCAACAAAAGAUAAGAUCGAUGUUGUUCACAAUACCGAGAGAUGCUAGUGAAGUUGUAGAUGUAUGUUAAUAAAGUUGUUUCGCCCUGGCAGUCCAAGUAAUAAAGAUCUUAAACCAAGAAAUAGUAUUCUCUAUGAAAUUGAAUAUCAAUAUACAUCUCAAGGCUUUGAGAUUAGGCCACUGAAGAAGCCCGGAAAACUACCUUGGGAGUGCAAGUGCUACCUGCAAUCCCCAGUAAAAGGACCCCAUUGGGCAAACAGCAGCCUCUUGCUUACUUUUCUGUAUAUUAGUCGCC
Podarcis lilfordi (Lilford's wall lizard) is the source of this 4518-nucleotide non-coding RNA. The record is from the annotation of a GenBank genome assembly. NCBI's taxonomy places the organism in Eukaryota, Metazoa, Chordata, Lepidosauria, Squamata, Lacertidae.